GAUGAACGCUGGCGGCGUGCCUAAUACAUGCAAGUCGAGCGAACAGACGAGGAGCUUGCUCCUCUGACGUUAGCGGCGGACGGGUGAGUAACACGUGGAUAACCUACCUAUAAGACUGGGAUAACUUCGGGAAACCGGAGCUAAUACCGGAUAAUAUAUUGAACCGCAUGGUUCAAUAGUGAAAGACGGUUUUGCUGUCACUUAUAGAUGGAUCCGCGCCGCAUUAGCUAGUUGGUAAGGUAACGGCUUACCAAGGCAACGAUGCGUAGCCGACCUGAGAGGGUGAUCGGCCACACUGGAACUGAGCCACGGUCCAGACUCCUACGGGAGGCAGCAGUAGGGAAUCUUCCGCAAUGGGCGAAAGCCUGACGGAGCAACGCCGCGUGAGUGAUGAAGGUCUUCGGAUCGUAAAACUCUGUUAUUAGGGAAGAACAAAUGUGUAAGUAACUAUGCACGUAUUGACGGUACCUAAUCAGAAAGCCACGGCUAACUACGUG
RNAcentral lists this ribosomal RNA (497 nucleotides) under uncultured bacterium. RNAcentral's name for it is "partial 16S ribosomal RNA". It matches the Rfam family "Bacterial small subunit ribosomal RNA", at positions 28 to 507 of the family's 1533-position model. The record is from RNAcentral.